RNAcentral lists this ribosomal RNA (292 nucleotides) under uncultured bacterium. RNAcentral describes it as "partial 16S ribosomal RNA". The record is from RNAcentral. RNAcentral also lists the same sequence under 1 other name.
GGACUACCGGGGUUUCUAAUCCCGUUUGCUCCCCUGGCUUUCGCGCCUCAGCGUCAGCAAGGGUCCAGUGCGCCGCUUUCGCCGCCGGCGUUCCUUCUGAUAUCAACGCAUUUCACCGCUCCACCAGAAGUUCCGCGCACCCCUACCCUCCUCCAGCCCGCCGGUAUCGGAGGCCCUUCCGCGGUUAAGCCGCGGGAUUUCACCCCCGACCUCGCGAGCCGCCUACGCGCCCUUUAAGCCCAGUGAUUCCGAACAACGUUCGCACGGUUCGUCUUACCGCGGCGGCUGGCAC